This 254-nucleotide ribosomal RNA is filed under the name uncultured bacterium. RNAcentral's name for it is "partial 16S ribosomal RNA". It matches the Rfam family "Bacterial small subunit ribosomal RNA", at positions 524 to 776 of the family's 1533-position model. The record is from RNAcentral.
AACGUAGGAGGCAAGCGUUAUCCGGAGUUACUGGGCGUAAAGCGCGUGUAGGCGGCUCGGUAAGUGGGUCGUGAAAGCGCCCGGCUAAACUGGGCGAGGACGAUCGAGACUGCCGGUGCUCGAGAGUGGUAGAGGGACAGGGAAUUCCGGGUGUAGCGGUGAAAUGCGUAGAUAUUGGGAGGAACACCGGUGGCGAAGGCGGCCACCUGGGCCGGAACUGACGCUGAGGCGCGAAAGCGUGGGGAGCAAACGGG